UUCCCAGUGUCUUAGUUGAUAAAGAAUCUGUCUGUGAUGCAGGAGACCUGGGUUCAAUCCCUGGGUGGGGAA
Molecule: transfer RNA, 72 nt
Filed under: Bos taurus (domestic cattle)
Lineage: Eukaryota; Metazoa; Chordata; Mammalia; Artiodactyla; Bovidae
Also listed under: 1 other name
Rfam family: tRNA
About the family: Transfer RNA (tRNA) molecules are approximately 80 nucleotides in length.
Source: Rfam by way of RNAcentral